RNAcentral lists this unclassified non-coding RNA (304 nucleotides) under uncultured Colletotrichum. RNAcentral describes it as "sequence contains ITS1". The stretch from base 1 to 105 matches the Rfam family "5.8S ribosomal RNA", at positions 50 to 154 of the family's 154-position model. RNAcentral also lists the same sequence under 1 other name. Lineage: Eukaryota; Fungi; Ascomycota; Sordariomycetes; Glomerellales; Plectosphaerellaceae. The record is from RNAcentral.
GAAAUGCGAUAAGUAAUGUGAAUUGCAGAAUUCAGUGAAUCAUCGAAUCUUUGAACGCACAUUGCGCCCGCCAGCAUUCUGGCGGGCAUGCCUGUUCGAGCGUCAUUUCAACCCUCAAGCACCGCUUGGCGUUGGGGCCCUACGGCUUCCGUAGGCCCCGAAAUACAGUGGCGGACCCUCCCGGAGCCUCCUUUGCGUAGUAACAUACCACCUCGCACUGGGAUCCGGAGGGACUCCUGCCGUAAAACCCCCCAAUUUUCCAAAGGUUGACCUCGGAUCAGGUAGGAAUACCCGCUGAACUUAA